Molecule: ribosomal RNA, 484 nt
Filed under: uncultured bacterium
Lineage: Bacteria
Description: partial 16S ribosomal RNA
Rfam family: Bacterial small subunit ribosomal RNA
Source: RNAcentral
AGUGAACGCUGGCGGCAGGCCUAACACAUGCAAGUCGAGCGGCAGCGCGGGGGCAACCCUGGCGGCGAGCGGCGGACGGGUGAGGAAUUCGUCGGAAUCUGCCUCUUUGUGGGGGAUAAAGUAGGGAAACUUACGCUAAUGCCGCAUACGUCCUACGGGAGAAAGUGGGGGACCGCAAGGCCUCACGCAGAAAGAUGAGCCGACGACCGAUUAGCUAGUUGGUGGGGUAAAGGCCCACCAAGGCGACGAUCGGUAGCUGGUCUGAGAGGAUGAUCAGCCACACUGGGACUGAGACACGGCCCAGACUCCUACGGGAGGCAGCAGUGGGGAAUAUUGGACAAUGGGCGCAAGCCUGAUCCAGCAAUGCCGCGUGUGUGAAGAAGGCCUUCGGGUUGUAAAGCACUUUUGUCCGGAAAGAAAUCCCUGGAGCUAAUACCUUCGGGGGAUGACGGUACCGGAAGAAUAAGCACCGGCUAACUUCGUG